This 1581-nucleotide long non-coding RNA is filed under the name Harpegnathos saltator (Jerdon's jumping ant). RNAcentral's name for it is "uncharacterized LOC105191209". Lineage: Eukaryota; Metazoa; Arthropoda; Insecta; Hymenoptera; Formicidae. The record is from RNAcentral.
CGUCUUCUUAUUGAUGAUCUUUCUUUACGGCACCGUAAUCCUCAACCAAAAUAAUCUUUGUCUUCGGACGUCGCCACAUCCUUCAGAUGUCAAUGUGUUCUCCAGGACGUUCGUCACUGUACUUCCGGAAGGACACUUUCGUCCCCCCCGGAAUCACUCACUGUCACGAACACUGUCACUACACUAAUUAAACUAUUAAUAACGUUUGGAUAAUAAACCUUUCGCGUCCGCGCACACGUACGCUAUUUAUUCCCGCCCGACUGCGAUGUAUCUUUUCGCGAUUUCGUCCAGACACGUAUUCAAAAUUACACGAAAAGCUGUAGAUCCUCGCGUGUCGAUUACAGACUACACUCGUUAAUGACAGGACCUUGCGUCCGCGUUAAUUAAGCGUUCGAACACUACUAACCUCGCAACGACGACGCAAUAUACUGAUCGAGAGUGACGCGAUCCAUUCGUCUUGAGCGCCCGAAUCUAACUGGAGGACAUUUUUCUUCGCCUUAGCAUAUAGCCGCUUUUCGCCAGGCGACGAAUUCCCGAUUUCUGAUUGGCUGGAGCCUCUUGUCCGGCCAUGGCCGACUUGGCCACGGUCUUACAUAUAGGUCUGGAAACUCCUCCAAAUUUUGAUGGUGGGGGUAGUUCCCUUAUUGAAGCCAAAUAGUUUGUAGCCCGGCCACGGCGCUGUCGUCUAACUCGCAGUAAACAUAGUCUGAAAACUGCAAAACCGUGAGAUAAUAAAUUGUUGACAAAAUUCGCAAGUGACAAACUUAUUGAAAAAUGAGAUGUGUGGUACCGAAUUAUAAAAGCGGCAGCAGAACCGAGCAGAAACGUUCUCUAUUUCGAGUGCCGAAAGAUAUUGUUACGUGGAAGAAGUGGGAAAAAGCUAUUCCGGGUACUGUAAAGUUGAAUCAGACAGAUACUGUGUAUGAAAACCAUUUUAACGAGGAAGACAUUGUUCGUGAAUGGAUAAAGAUUCGACGCAAAUGGUCAAGAAAUUGCACGGGUCGCAUACAAGCGUCAGAGGCUCAAGCAGUUCGCUGUGCCCACAAAAUUCAAUGACGUUCCAACAGGAAAGGAAAAUUAUGAGCCACUGGAUGAAAAUAUGAAGCGAAUUUCGAAUUCUCAAAUAAAUUCUCCAGGCAUUAUCCAGUCCUCAGUUGGUGUCAUGAAACCUUCAAUUCAAGAAAACAGUAUAGUCGAAGCACUCAUCGGUUAUUUAUGCAAGCAAGUCCUUAAAAAAUAUAAAUCCUGCUCAGUGUGUGAAGAAGCCGUGAGAUUGAAAACCAGCUGCGGAUCUUCGGAGUCACAACUGGUUGAAAUGAAAUCACGCGGUGGUCUUAUUCACGCUAAUCUCCAUUUCUUUCAUUUAAUCCGCUAUAUAGAAGCAUCGUUUGCAAAAUAUUCCUCUCGUGUUGACCUUUUCGAUGUAACUCUCGAUAAAGUACUUGAUUUUUAUACCUUCACGUUUCCCUGUAAAGAACAUGCAUCUGAAAUCCUGUCUUAUGCUAUAGUUUAUUAUUUAAGAUUAAGAAUGAGGCAAACUGUUCACCAGAAAAAUUUAAAAUUAAAAAAGAAACUUGUUGU